GUCGUGCGAGAAAGUCACUUCGGUGGCGAGUAGAGCGGCGCACGGGCGAGUAACACGUGGGUAACCUGCCCUUGAGUCUGGGAUAACCCGGGGAAACUCGGGCUAAUACCGGAUACGGCCGCGAGGUCUUCGGACCUUGCGGAGAAAGACGGCGCUCCUUCGGGAGCUUUCACUCGAGGAUGGGCCUGCGUCCCAUUAGCUAGUUGGUGGGGUAAGGGCCCACCAAGGCGACGAUGGUUAGCGGGUCUGAGAGGAUGAUCCGCCACACUGGCACUGGAACACGGGCCAGACUCCUACGGGAGGCAGCAGUGAGGAAUAUUGCGCAAUGGGGGCAACCCUGACGCAGCGACGCCGCGUGAGUGAGGAAGGCCUUCGGGUCGUAAAGCUCUGUCAGCAGGGAAGAAGUGCAUUGCAGCUAAUAUCUGUGAUGUUUGACGGUACCUGCAAAGGAAGCACCGGUUAACUCCGUGCCAGCAGCCGCGGUAAUACGGAGGGUGCGAGCGUUGUUCGGAAUCACUGGGCGUAAAGGGCGCGCAGGCGGUUUUAUAAGUCAGAUGUGAAAGCCCACGGCUUAACUGUGGAAGAGCAUUUGAAACUGUAAGACUUGAGUACCAGAGGGGAAGGUGGAAUUCCCGGUGUAGAGGUGAAAUUCGUAGAUAUCGGGAGGAAUACCGGUGGCGAAGGCGACCUUCUGGCUGGAUACUGACGCUGAGGCGCGAAAGCGUGGGGAGCAAACAGGAUUAGAUACCCUGGUAGUCCACGCGGUAAACGAUGUGCACUAGAUGUCGGGGGUAUUGAUCCCUUCGGUGUCGCAGCUAACGCAUUAAGUGCACCGCCUGGGGAGUACGGUCGCAAGAUUAAAACUCAAAUGAAUUGACGG
This 880-nucleotide ribosomal RNA is filed under the name uncultured bacterium. Its description in RNAcentral is "bacterial SSU rRNA". It matches the Rfam family "Bacterial small subunit ribosomal RNA", at positions 61 to 916 of the family's 1533-position model. The record is from RNAcentral.